Molecule: long non-coding RNA, 446 nt
Filed under: Nicotiana benthamiana
Lineage: Eukaryota; Viridiplantae; Streptophyta; Magnoliopsida; Solanales; Solanaceae
Description: long non-coding RNA (NBEN_LNC041115)
Source: RNAcentral
GGAGUUUCUAACAAAAAAAGUGAGCAUUUUCCUGCUACCAUCAUCCAAAAAAUCUUGGAAGUUGCAGGAUGUGCGGGUGGCUUAUUGCUUCUUGGAUUGUUGCUGUAGCAUGUGAGCUUCUACUGCUGGAAACUAGUGUCUUUAUUUUUUUGAGCACAUGAGUCUGGAACCCUAUUAUUCCCCUGUGGAAGCUCUGCAAAGAUGGCAGUUGACUGCAUGUGAAGCUGUUGCUGAUGAAAGUUCAGAGAUGAUGAAACUGUGUGCUUUCUUAGUUUCUGAGUUGUCCAAUCUUGGCCUUCAUCCUUAUUCCUAUCAUUGUUGUUGUGUUUGAAGGCUUGGAACCCCUGAUGAAGCUUGCGAGUCCUAUGUGUCAUGUGUGGUUGUAAGUGAGCCAGGUAAAAGUGCCCUUAUGAUAGGCCUAGGAGAAAUGAUUCAAGGGAAUGAGC